This 490-nucleotide ribosomal RNA is filed under the name uncultured bacterium. RNAcentral describes it as "partial 16S ribosomal RNA". It matches the Rfam family "Bacterial small subunit ribosomal RNA", at positions 29 to 507 of the family's 1533-position model. The record is from RNAcentral.
AAUGAACGCUGGCGGCAUGCCUUACACAUGCAAGUCGAACGGCAGCAUGACCUCGCUUGCUAGGUUGAUGGCGAGUGGCGAACGGGUGAGUCAUGCAUCGGAACGUGCCUUUUAGUGGGGGAUAACGUAGCGAAAGUUACGCUAAUACCGCAUAUUCUCUGAGGAGGAAAGCAGGGGACCUUCGGGCCUUGCGCUAGAAGAGCGGCCGAUGUCGGAUUAGCUAGUUGGUGAGGUAAAGGCUCACCAAGGCAACGAUCCGUAGCGGGUCUGAGAGGAUGAUCCGCCACACUGGGACUGAGACACGGCCCAGACUCCUACGGGAGGCAGCAGUGGGGAAUUUUGGACAAUGGGCGCAAGCCUGAUCCAGCCAUGCCGCGUGAGUGAAGAAGGCCUUCGGGUUGUAAAGCUCUUUCGGCUGGGAAGAAAUCGCACCCUCUAAUACAGGGUGUGGAUGACGGUACCAGCAGAAGAAGCACCGGCUAACUACGUG